UAUUAUUAAAUGUCAAAAUGUUGGGUUAAAAAAACAUAUUUUUGGAAAAGUUUAUAAUGAAAUGUUUAUCUAACAGCGAUAAAGGAUUAUUUUGGCUAAAUAGUGAAAGUGUGUUUGUUAUGACAUCAAGGGGAAAUACACGCAGGCCCAAACAACGAAACAGAGUGAAAGUCCAAGAAAUGUGAACGACUUCUGUCUGUCCCACCCAACUAUAACUUGCUGGACUUGUGGUUUCCUCACGGAAGCCCCCGGCGAAGGCUCCGCCAUCACCUGUCGACAACACAAAUUGAUAUAUAUUAAAACAAAUUAAAAUUCUUACCUCGGUAUGGCGUUUUGUUAAAAUUUCCGUACUGGUGUUCAUUGUUUAAACGUUGGAAACAUAUAGAUAAAAGUUUGAUAACAAUCUGAUUGGAGAGUGAUUUCGUUGUUGUUUUGUUUUACCCACUUGUGGUGGGUUACCUUGAGAGUUAUUUAAUUCCGGUUAUAAAUAAUUCAACAACACAACAACUAAUAAGAAUAUAUUCAUUAUUGCACCUAAAUUAGCACAAAAAAAAUAUGGAUUUUUUGUUGUUUCUUCACUUAUCAAACUACAUACGAUCACAACAGUUUAAAUUGAUUUAAAGUGGUAAAAACGAUUAUCCAGAUAAUCAAAAGCACUAUUAUUCCGACGAGAAAUAUAGUCUUUUUGAUGUGCCAAGGACUACCGGCAAGAUCCGGGGCUUGAUAUCGUUGUCUAGCCGUUCUGCAUACUUCCGGUGUACAAGUGACUAAAUUUUGGCUCGCUGAAGCACCACCCCCAUUUGCUCUUGAAACCGAUAAUUCUAUACCUUUAUCCUUUCUGUCACCAUCUUUACGAAAACUGGGAUUGUCCAUCUGAAAUUUAAACACACUAAAUGCUCAGUUUUAUUCAAUUUGCUAAACUUUUACACAACACAACAUUUUGAUGAUUGUUUAAUUAUUGGAUUUUUUCAUGGUAGUGGUGUGUGAAAACAUUGCUAGACUAUCGCUUGUAAUUUUUUCAAUGGAAGUUAAACCUCAGAUAAGCGGUAUCUUAUUUCUGGCGGUUCAACCUUUUACAUAUAAAUAGAUACCAGGGAUGGGUGGUAUUGGUGGUUGAACGAAAAGAUAAAUACUCAAAAAUGGGAACUACUCGUAAAUUUAUCUUAUCAAUUGAGAUAAGUGGGAAAAACAACGAAAUAAGACAUAGUUAGAUACUCCAAAAUGGGUGAUUAAAAAAACAAUUCAAACCUUUGAUUAUUUUUCAAUUUGAAACCACGGCACUCGCAAAUUACAUCAUCAUCGCUUGCACAUUGUAGAUUGACUCAAGGAAACAUUUUCUCCCAUUUCUGCAUUACUUUCACAAUUUUUUCAAUACUCGAUAUAUUAUGCGAUUAGCUUUUCUCAAUUUAAAUUACAACCAAGCAUAAAUUACGCUGUUUUUUAUGACAAAUUGUUUAUCUGCAUUUUACCUGAAGGCCACCGCAAUAAUUUUACACAAACUAAAUCGCACAAAUACCAUUUUGUUAUAUCACCAUUAAAAACUCAUUGAUUUCAAGACGUGGCAAUUGAAAGUUACCACACAAAUCUUUAAUACUUACAUUAAUCGGGUUUAAUCACUAUAAUUCAUGUAAUUCCCAUUUUUUUACGUUUGAAUGACACUGAAAAAUGUCAAAACGACUUGAAACUUGGUUAUUCAUUGUUGUGGCAUUGUUUUAACUCGUCGAGAAUUGCUUUAAUGGAAUAAAUGUUUAUGUGAUAGUCAUGUUUAACACGUUCAAAAUUGUUGUUGUUUGAAAGUUAAUUAAAAAUAGCUAGCAGUUUUUUAAUAAUAAUAAUAAAUUUUUAACGGUUUGCAUAUACUUACCGUUAAAAUGUAGGUACCUAUUUAUUCAUCGUUUUAAAAGCGACAAAUGUAGUAAAGAUACCCAAUAAAUAUUAAUCUUUAUUCUUACAAAAUGUAAAUUCCGUUACUUUGUUUUUCGUAAAUACGUCCACACACAUUUACCUGUUAUUUUCUAUGAAUUAAUCAUGAUGAACUGGAUUAAAAAUUCUUUCGUUUUUUGAAAAGCUAUUAUUUUUAAUAUUUGCAACCAACAAUACACGUACACAUCUUUGGGAAAUAAAUAUUAUUACAUAAACGCUUGUAAAAUAAAUACAUUCACUUCACAAAUUAUCGCUUGAUUUUGAAAUCAUCAAAAGUAAAGUUUUGAAUCUCUUUUUCAUUCUUGAAUUCGGCUUUGUCAAUCCUACACUGUGGACUUCCCUUUGUUUUGAGCCACAUUUUCCUACAAUUUCCAUAAAAAAUACAAGGUGAAAAAGGCAUUCACUUACAUAUCAGCAACUUUAUUUGCAUCACCUUCUAGGACACCUUUCACAGUACCUUCAUUGGUGUUCAUGCACCAUCCUUUGAGCCCCAAUCGGGUGGCCUCUUGUUGUGUAUACUAAUUGUUCUAUGAUUAAUUAAAACAUUUAAUUUGGUUAGUUGAACGUACCUUUCGGAAAAAUACACCUUGAAAAUUACAUAACACGUUCUUAUAAUUUUUACAGUUAAAGUGAUAAGGAAUUACCUUGAACUCUGCCAUAGACUUCGAAUUCGGUGGAAAGCAGUUUCAAUGACGCCAUCGAAAGCGGGAAAAGCACAAGGAAAAGCGAGGAAAAUCGUAAAGGAAAAUAAACAAACAUCUGUCAAUUUGGUUGCAUGGCAGCGCUAAUAGCGCGCGAAAUUUAAAUUUAUUUCAAAUAAAAGUGUUACUACAAUA
Molecule: long non-coding RNA, 2759 nt
Organism: Tribolium madens (black flour beetle)
Lineage: Eukaryota; Metazoa; Arthropoda; Insecta; Coleoptera; Tenebrionidae
Exons: 2
Source: RefSeq, a predicted model, not a curated record